This 102-nucleotide small nucleolar RNA is filed under the name Cavia porcellus (domestic guinea pig). Its description in RNAcentral is "Small nucleolar RNA U13". It matches the Rfam family "Small nucleolar RNA U13". Lineage: Eukaryota; Metazoa; Chordata; Mammalia; Rodentia; Caviidae. The record is from Rfam by way of RNAcentral.
AUCCUCAGGCUCAUAAGCGUGAUGAUUGGGUGUUCAUGCUCCAUGCAUGACAUGUGCCUCCUUUGAACCUUGUUACGACCUCGGCACAUUACCCAUGUGACG